CAGAAGUCCAGCCACUGGGCUCCUUCAGGACACAGGACUCUCAGCCCCGCAUUCUCCUCCUCCCCUAAGAACUAGGAGUCUGGGCCCCACAACUCAGCGCAAGCAUUCCGGACUCCCAGCCCUCCUCUCUGCCAGGAUCUUAAAACCCUCCUUCAGGGAGUCAUUUUUCCCACCUUCCUAAAUGUCUGUCUUGUCCCCUUCCCUUGCCCCCCGUUGGCCUGUUGCUUUUCAUUUCAGCCUGGCUUGGGGCUCAGUCUCCUUAUCUUUAGUGUGCGGUGGAUGCGGGAAUUUCCACCAUCAGCCUGAUGCCCGCUCCCCGGCACUGGUUCUCCUCUCUCCUGCAGGAUGAUUGCCGCCGUGGACACAGACUCCCCCCGAGAGGUCUUUUUCCGAGUGGCAGCUGACAUGUUUUCUGACGGCAACUUCAACUGGGGCCGGGUUGUCGCCCUUUUCUACUUUGCCAGCAAACUGGUGCUCAAGGCCCUGUGCACCAAGGUGCCCGAACUGAUCAGAACCAUCAUGGGCUGGACAUUGGACUUCCUCCGGGAGCGGCUGUUGGGCUGGAUCCAAGACCAGGGUGGUUGGGUGAGACUCCUCAAGCCUCCUCACCCCCACCACCACGCCCUCACCACCACCCCUGCCCCACCGUCCCUGCCCCCUGCCACUCCUCUGGGACCCUGGGCCUUCUGGAGCAGGUCACAGUGGUGCCCUCUCCCCAUCUUCAGAUCAUCAGAUGUGGUCUAUAAUGCGUUUCCUUACGUGUCUGAUCAAUCCCUGAUUCAUCUACCCUGCUGACCUCCCAGUGACCCCUGACCUCACUGUGACCUUGACUUGAUUAGUGCCUUCUGCCCUCCCUGGAGCCUCCAC
RNAcentral lists this small RNA (867 nucleotides) under Pongo abelii (Sumatran orangutan). RNAcentral's name for it is "retained intron". Lineage: Eukaryota; Metazoa; Chordata; Mammalia; Primates; Hominidae. The record is from RNAcentral.